RNAcentral lists this transfer RNA (68 nucleotides) under Trichonephila inaurata madagascariensis. It matches the Rfam family "tRNA". From Rfam's summary of the family: Transfer RNA (tRNA) molecules are approximately 80 nucleotides in length. Their secondary structure includes four short double-helical elements and three loops (D, anti-codon, and T loops). Further hydrogen bonds mediate the characteristic L-shaped molecular structure. tRNAs have two regions of fundamental functional importance: the anti-codon, which is responsible for specific mRNA codon recognition, and the 3' end, to which the tRNAs corresponding amino acid is attached (by aminoacyl-tRNA synthetases). tRNAs cope with the degeneracy of the genetic code in two manners: having more than one tRNA (with a specific anti-codon) for a particular amino acid; and 'wobble' base-pairing, i.e. permitting non-standard base-pairing at the 3rd anti-codon position. Lineage: Eukaryota; Metazoa; Arthropoda; Arachnida; Araneae; Nephilidae. The record is from Rfam by way of RNAcentral.
GGGGGCGAAGCUCAGAUGGUAGAGCGCUCGCUUAGCAUGCGAGAGGUAAGGGUAUCCCUGCGCCUCCU